This 400-nucleotide ribosomal RNA is filed under the name uncultured bacterium. Its description in RNAcentral is "bacterial SSU rRNA". It matches the Rfam family "Bacterial small subunit ribosomal RNA", at positions 355 to 763 of the family's 1533-position model. The record is from RNAcentral.
UUAAGAAUCUUGCUCAAUGGGGGAAACCCUGAAGCAGCGACGCCGCGUGAACGACGAAGGUCUUCGGAUUGUAAAGUUCAAUAAGGAGGGAAAAAUAAGCGCAAGCGAUGAUUGUACCUCCCUAAAGCACCGGCUAACUACGUGCCAGCAGCCGCGGUAAUACGUAUGGUGCAAGCGUUGUUCGGAAUUAUUGGGCGUAAAGGGUAUGUAGGUGGAAUUGUAAGUCAGGUGUGAAAACUACGAGCUCAACUCGUAGCCUGCACUUGAUACUGUGAUUCUAGAGUUUGGGAGAGGCAAGCGGAAUUCCUGGUGUAGCGGUGAAAUGCGUAGAUAUCAGGAGGAACACCGGUGGCGAAAGCGGCUUGCUGGCCUAAAACUGACGCUGAGAUACGAAAGUGUG